AGGAACAUGGAAAGCAAUAUGCACUUAUUCCAGUUUUUUAGCUAGUGAGACUCCAGUCUGUUGCGUUUCACUCUCUUCAUUUUACAAUCCUGAGAUCACAUCAUGCCCCAAGUGUAGCUGUGGAUGCAGAGAAGUAACAGACAAAAACUUCGGUACAUGUCUAAGGCCAGCUUACCCCUUCACAGCAAUGUCAUCAACAGGGGAUAAUUCAGGAGCUAAUUUUAUGGGUGCUCUAGACCGGGUGAAAUGCACAGAUCAUAUGUGCCCUAUUCGAGUUCAUUGGCAUGUCAAGACCAGCUAUGUAGAUCACUGGAGAAUUAAACUUACAAUUACUAACUACAACUAUCAGAGGAACUUCUCAAACUGGAAUGCACUGGUCCAGCACCCUGGUCUCUCCA
This is a non-coding RNA of Prunus avium (sweet cherry), 398 nucleotides long. The record is from RefSeq and is a predicted model, not a curated record. NCBI's taxonomy places the organism in Eukaryota, Viridiplantae, Streptophyta, Magnoliopsida, Rosales, Rosaceae.